UCAGAAAGUAUAGGACAGUUACACAUUUCUCAGUGUUUUGGCUCCACACUCCUGUAGUGUGGCUCCGCAAUGAAGGCGGAGCUGCUUUCCCAGGCUCACUCUCCCACACCUGCAAAACAUUAUUCAUCAGGAUGCUGUGUACUUAAGGACCAGCUGUGGCUGUGCAUCUCUGCCAGAAUCUUGGACCGCGACCUGCUCACUCACCAGAAGGACCUACCUGUUUCAGCCAGUUCCACUCCCUGCGUCCACCUCAGCCUGGCUCACCUUAGUGAAAGUCUCAGGUCUCACAUGUGCCUGCCUGCUCUCCACCUUACCAGCUUCCUCAUCUCUGGAACCCAGCCUGCCCUCUGACAUAUCCCCUCACUACCUCCAUUCUCUGGAUCUCAAUUAAGAUAAGCCAACUCAGUUAUAACAAACAACGUUCCCUCAUUACUCUCCAUCAGCCAGUGCUAACUCAGUUUCUCCCCAUCCACAGACCCUUCCAGAUCCUCAGCAUUCUUACCAUCAUUGCCUGGCUCUGUUCUCCCUGGUUAUGUCUGCACUUUAUAAAUAAACAUCUUAAUCUGU
Molecule: long non-coding RNA, 567 nt
Organism: Oreochromis aureus
Lineage: Eukaryota; Metazoa; Chordata; Actinopteri; Cichliformes; Cichlidae
Source: Ensembl